Molecule: transfer RNA, 77 nt
Filed under: Promethearchaeota archaeon
Lineage: Archaea; Promethearchaeati; Promethearchaeota
Description: Candidatus Lokiarchaeota archaeon (marine sediment metagenome) tRNA-Gln
Rfam family: tRNA
About the family: Transfer RNA (tRNA) molecules are approximately 80 nucleotides in length. Their secondary structure includes four short double-helical elements and three loops (D, anti-codon, and T loops).
Source: RNAcentral
ACUCCCGUAGUGUAGUAGUCAAGCACCUUGGACUUUGAAACCCAAGAACCCAGGUUCAAAUCCUGGCGGGAGUACCA